RNAcentral lists this long non-coding RNA (1038 nucleotides) under Rosa chinensis. RNAcentral's name for it is "sRNA RchiOBHm_Chr6g0286281". The record is from RNAcentral. Lineage: Eukaryota; Viridiplantae; Streptophyta; Magnoliopsida; Rosales; Rosaceae.
CCCGGCUCUGUGUAAAUAGCGGGAUUCAUACCUGUGAUGCUGUACUCUUUAUCGAAGCCUCGAACUGGGUAAAGCCUCCAACUUUCUUAUUUCUUCUCACUGGGCUUCGAUCAAUCGAAAUACUGAUCAAAAUUCCCAAAUUUAUUUCUUUGCUGCUGUAAACUCGGUGUGGCAAUUGGACGAAUUUUUGUUGCGGCAACUCGUCAAUCAGCUGGUAUGACCCCUUUUUUUUUUUGGCCUUAGUUGUUCCGGUCUCCACCAAGCUUUUCACCGCCAAGACAUCAUUUUGUUUGAUAUAUUUUCUCGGUGGCUUUAGGGCGGCUUGUUUGGAAAUGUUUGCAAGGCCAACUUUUAUCGUGGUGAAUGGGAAGGCAGAAGGCUGGAAAGCUCUUCGGUGGUGACUGAUAUUGCCGAUUUUGUAAGAGAGUGAAUGUGGCGUCUUGUGCAGAUUUUUAGCAUUGGAACUCGACCGUUCAUGAACGACCAUAUGUUCCAACACUGAAAAUCACAGUAGCCAAGUGCGUUAAGACUCCGGCCGUUCAUGAACGACCAUAUAUGUCUUAACGCAGGAGCAGCCACAGUGAAGGUUGGCCGUUCAUGAACGACCAUGUACUUCUUGGUAGGUUGAGAGAACUUCAACAAACGAAGGAAGGUUGUUUUGUUGACAGCAAGCUUUCUGGACGGUAUAUUUCCCUGUCAAAGAAGACGAGAAUAGCAUAGAUGCGUUGUAUACCUGAGCUUCACCUUUGGAGCUUGACUUGUUGACGGAUCUGCUUUGAUUUCACUUUCUGUUUUGGCAGAGCUUUACCUUUUUGCUUGCUGAAUAUUUCUCUCUCCCUCUUGCUCCGUCCCUUUCUUUUCACGUUGCCACCUUUAUAUAAGGGUGGUUGGAUAAGUGUAGCCGGAUAGCUGGUAACCCACCUUGUAUUUGAAUUUGAAUAACAAGCUCAACUUUAUCACUUGUUAUCUGUUGAAUAGGUCAAAAAAACUUGACCAAGACUUGAAUCAAGGUUAACAGAACAUUAUCCUUUAUAGCUU